Acanthochromis polyacanthus (spiny chromis) is the source of this 3087-nucleotide long non-coding RNA. RefSeq lists it as uncharacterized. NCBI's taxonomy places the organism in Eukaryota, Metazoa, Chordata, Actinopteri, Pomacentridae. The transcript is spliced from 4 exons. The record is from RefSeq and is a predicted model, not a curated record.
AGAAAUGUAGAAAUUUUUGCAAAUUCAUUAAAAAAGAAAAACUGAAAUAUCACAUGGUCAGAAGUAUUCAGAGCCUUUGCAGCGACAUUCAUAUUUAACUCACAUGCUGUCCAUUUCUUCUGAUCCUCCUCGAGAUGGUUCUGCUUCUUUUUACCGUUUAAUUCCGUUACUGUGACUGACUUGUGCUCACAUGUUCUGACUAAUUAGCCGCCGGUCUGUCAGCUGCAGCUAAAUGCAUCCACUGAGCUGCAGAUGGAGUCUGCAGUUGGGUGUGAAGGACCAUUAGCUGCUCCGUUUUCUGGACUAAUUAUGACUUUGUUUGUUUGUUGUGCUCAGAUGAUGCACGGCUUAAUCACCGUCCGUUAAACGAGCCGUUCUGCUGCAGCGUUCAGUCUGAAGCGGAGCUGCAGGAAGGAGGCGACGGCACCAACGCUGAUCCCAGAGCAGCUCCAUCCCUGCAGCACUCUGUGGCCUCAGGCUCCCCGAACACAUUUAUUCUGCCAAGAUCCACACAGACGGGAAGACAAACACUGUUUAUUCCUGCUGCAGCACGUUCCCGGCUACCAGUCAGCAGGAAUAACAGCAGAGGUUCUCCACGUUCUGAGGCUUUAAAAUCCGUGUUGACUUCAGGGUCCAUUUUACAGCACGAGGCCUGGAUGGGAACCGACACGACGUCCAAGAAAUGUGGAGAUAAACCGUAAACCUGACGCCUCCGAGGAGAACACUGAGUCUUAAGCCGAUUCAACGCUGGGUUAGACAUGAUUUUAACUCAUCUAAGACGUUCCUGAUGUCUGGGAUGUUAGAACUAGCUGUUAAAUGUUAAAACUGUGUCAUAUGAUUAACCUUUUAGACUGAAGUUCUCGGAACUAUCCACCACAAAUCUCUAGAACAAAGAUCUGGUUCUCCACAAACUCAACAAACUUAGACCCUUACUGAUGCUAACACUGUUUAAAUGGACCAACAUCCAGCUAGAACCCUCAGAUUAACGAUGUUUCAGAUGUUUAUAGAUGUUCUUCUGAACUACAAAGAUCUUUAAAUGUGGUUCCACCUGGUCUAAGAGACGUUCCUGAUGUUAAAUGCUAAGGCAACCUUUUAGACUGAAGUUCGAGUAACUAUCCACCACAAAUCUCUAGAAGGAAGCUCUGGUUCUCCACAGAUUGAGACCCUCACUGCUGCUGACACUGUUUAAAUGGACCAACAUUCAGCUAGAACCCUCACAGGAACUGGUCAGCCUACGUAUCCGGAUCUCACCUGGGAGCAGAAACAACAAAACGUGACCAGAUUCUGUAAAACAAACCGCCUGGAUGGGAUUCUCCUCAGAGGAAGCCCAAAGAUUGUUUAUCACAAACAUCUGCUGGAUCCUUGUUCUGAUGGAAACACUGCAGAUCAACACGGAGUAUACCUGUUGGGAGAUGGAGUCACAGGGUCCACCGAGGAUUCGAAAGGGAGAGGCUGGAUAAGAAAGAGCUGAAAGAGGAGAAAGAUGCGAAAUGACGAAUCUGUAUCCUAAUUGGAGCUGAAGCUGUUUUUCCGUCACGCUCGGUUCUCUGGUCUUCCUGUUGUGUCUUCAUCCAGAAGCAGCAGAUGAAGAGAGAAUCUUCGGACAUGAACCGUCCUCAGUCAGGUCAAACAUCAACAUCUUCCUGGUUUUAGCUCAUUUUAAUUGACCUUCUGUCGGUUUUGUUCUUGAUUUCUGGUCGUUUUCUUCAUGUUUAAUGAAAAAUGAAACAAUUUGCUGCAACUUUUUGCAACUUUUGUCAACUUCUGGAUGUGGAAUCUUCACUUCCUGUUUUCUGUCAUUUUGCAGCUUUCUUUAGUUUUCAUGGUUUUUUUCGUUGUUUUCAGGUUUUUUAGGGAUUUUUUGUUGGUUUCAGAGGAUUUUAUUUUGAUUUUGGGGUUGUUGUGAUUUUCAGGUAUUUUUUGUAAUUUUCAGGCUGUGUUCUGUAUUUUUCAGGGGUUUUGUUGUCAGAAGUUGUUUCAGAAACUCUGCGUCUUCCUGGUUUUAGCUCAUUAUGUAUGCUUCUGUUGGUUUUGUUCCUGAUUUCUUAUUUUUUCUUAAUGUUUCAUGAAAAACUUUACAAUUCUCUCCAACCUUUUGACUCUGUUGAAGCUUAAAUCUUUUGAUUCGUCUAAACUGCUCUAAAACUUUUCCACCUUCUGUUGACCUCUGGAUGCGGCAGCAGUGUUUAGUCGGUUUCACUUUCCCAGUGUUUUUGUUUUCAGUAAUUUGUGAGUUUGUUUAGUGCAGAAACGUUUGUGUUGUGGCUGAAUAUAGCUGGAAAUGGAGUUUAAAUUGGAGCUGCUCAGAGAGAAAUCUCCUUUUGUUUCCACACAUUUGUAUUCAGCACUAGUUGGGUCUAACGUCCUCCAUAAUCACCGUGAUAUACGCUCUCAUUUAAGUUGCAUUAAGAUAAUUAAACAGAUUUCCCCGCAGAACUAAUUAGAGGAGCAGUGACAUUAUGUGACGCGUUCAAGGACAUUGUUGGCCGAGAGAUUUCGCUGUUUUGUUCAGGUUUGGUGUCGACGAAUCUCUGCUCUGGACGACGGAAAUCUAAAUAAAAAAUCUGAAAGCAACUGCAGCAGCAAAUACAGAUGAACAGAAAACUUAAUAAAUGAAUGCCGAAGCUUCCACACACUCUUCUGAUAUAUAAACUAUAAAUGAACAUUUCUGCAGUAGAUGAAAAAUUAAAAUAAAUAAGAAACACUAAAGUACUGCUAAUGUUUGUUCUGAAUGUAGAAGGAUACUGAUAAUGACUGGAUAUAGUCUUGUUUUGCAGGGAAAAAAAGUCUUUUUAAAUGUAUACAAUAUCCGUAAUUCAAGUUUGAAUGCAUUAAUGAAUCUUGAGUACAGUUGAGGCCCAGAUGGCAGGAGCUUCAGUCACUGAAACCAAGCAGCUGGAUUCAAAUGUGAUGGAAAGAUUUCAGUAAAACAGUGUUGGAAAUGAUGUUUAACAGCUCACAUUUGAGGAUGUUGUCUUUUUGUGGUGGUUUUAUAUAUUUUUGCCUGAAUUUUGUGAAGUUUUGUGGUGGUUUUUUGUCUUAAUCCUAAUUUUCGGUCUUUUUGUGGUCAUUUAGUGUCUUAUUGUG